GUUUUGUUGUGUGUGUGUCUAAAAGUGCCUAGUGUAACAGAGUGAUGGUGAAAGAAGUGAAAACGCUAUGUAAUUGCAGCGCUGUUUGGUAACUGCUGCUGCUGCUGCCACCGUGUCGCUGCCAAUCUGACGGAUUGCUUUUACACUGGAUAACACUGCUCGCACGCAAGACUAUGCAGCGAUCGGGCAGAUUACAUCUCAGGGAUGUGAACCAGCAUCUCGUGUGUGUCUUGUGCAGCGGCUACUACAUCGACGCUACCACCAUCGUCGAAUGCCUCCACUCAUUUUGCAGGGGCUGCCUCAUCAAGUACCUGGAGAGUAACAGUUACUGCCCCAUCUGUGACGUACAGAUUCACAAAGCAAAGCUGUUCCUCAGUAUCAAGCCGGACAAGGCUCUGCAAGACAUCGUGUACAAACUGGUGCCCGGUCUCUUCCACGCCGAGAUGAGACGGCGGAGGGAUUUCUACGAGAAACAUCAGGAUCGCGCUCACGAGACGACGCCCGAGGGACGCGGGGUCGGCGUCGAGCGACUCAUUUACUCCCCUGAGGACAGCAUCAGUCUCUCGCUUGAGUACCUUGACGGGGAUGAAGAGGACUUGGGUUGUGCGUCCAGCCGAAGUUCUGUCAGCGACUCCAAUUCCUCUGAGGUAGCAGUCAUAAAGCGGUACCUCCAGUGCCCUGCCCUGGUCAGAAUCGGGCACCUCAAGAAGUUCCUUAGACUGAAGUAUGAUCUAAACGCGAGUCAUUUGGUGGAAGUGAUUCACAUGCGAGAAUCCCUGCCGGACGAAUAUACUCUAAUGGACGUAGCCUAUAUCUAUACGUGGAAGAGGAAUGGGCCAAUGAAAUUCUUCUACCGAAUCUGCCAAAGUCAGAAAGACCCCACUUUGGCUCCAGGCGAGAAACGACUUCGUGCCCUUGCUGCCUCAGCGUCUGCUGAGCAGCCAUCGCCGACAUCAUCCACUUUACAGUCAUCUUCAACUGUCUGUCGAUUGACAGAACCCUUUUCGUCAAACGCUAAAGACGUUUCUGAAGCGAUACCUCAAGCAACUGCUGUUGUACCCCCUGAAACGUUAAAACAGACAGUGGUCACAACAGUCGCUGCUAGUUCGUCAUCUGAUAAACCCACGUUUGUUUCUGUACAGUCUCACGUGGUAAGUGUCACCACGUCUGUCACGCAGUCGUCUCCAACAACUGCUGUAAAUACGCAAGCCGCUGUGCAGAUGUCGGUUGUAGCGUCUACCAAAGCUCCUAUCAAGUCAAAUUCUUCACAGUUACUUCAUAAUAGUUCCACAGGAAUUCAUAUACAUAGUCGAACAAGAUUAAUAAACAAAGGCACAAAUCAAUCCUCGGUGACCAUUACCAGAACGCCUUCAGCAUUAAAACCAAUUAAUUCGCUGACGUCUGCUGUCACUAAAACCCCAAUACGACCACUCGCGAUACCAUCAAGCAAAGCGUCAUUGCCAUCUUUGGCAACUGCAAGUAAAACUAUGCAGAAGCAGACGCCUUCUAUAACAGUUUCGAAAAUUCGUCAACAACCUCUUCCGACAGGUGCCGCAAAGCAGACGCACCUCGAAGCGGGCACCGGAAUCUCGGCACAGCAGCCAAACUCCGAGACCUUUACAAAAGAGGUCAGUCAGAUUGCCACUGUCAAGACAUCUGCACAUUCCUCUUCCACAGAUUCUACGCAACCACAAAAUCAGCCAUCAUCUGUUGCAGACAACAGCCUUCCAAAGAGUGGCCGAGUUACAAUCGGUGAACAUCUUGAUGACAAUAUCAAAACGCCUCCUUCUUCAUCUAUUGGUCUCGGUGACACAGGUUCCAAACCUUUACCCAAACAAGUACAGCCAUCAGAAAGUGGUACAGCGAAUUGUAAAGAAACAUCUGCAGUCAACUGCAUGGACAGAUUACCCACUGAAGUUAACAGGAAGCCUGUAAGUGUAUCUGGCGUAACUACGACCGUACCGCCAGAUGCAGCAAGUAAAACAAAACCCACUUUGACAAAUUCGGUCCAACAGCGUGCUCAGAUGUUGGCAAGGAACUCUUCCGUCUUUGUUAAAGUUACGCCCAACUCUGCCAAUAAUAAAGAGCAGCUUAGCACAGCCAGACACCAACUUCAGGUAACUAAAGAUUCAGCGAGACCACCUCGUGUGAAUCAGAAAAUAGUCGACAAACACGCGAAUAACCUCUUAACCUCCAGAAAGGACAAACCCGAUGAUGGCGAUAAAAAGGACGUUAGAGAGGAAUCAGUGAAUGCUGUACCGGAUCCAGAAAAAGGACUAGAUAAGAAGACCUCAAGCACAAAUAGUACCCCUCUGGCCUCUAAUAAUAACAACAAGAUCUCCCAUCAAAGUCUUCAGAUCAUCAAAAAUAAUCAGCAAAUCUUAAAGAAAAAUGACGAAAUAAUGCGUUGUCCAAAUACUAUUAAACGGACGGCGCAGAUCUUGCAGAGGAAACCGCAGGAUACGCUAAAGACGUGCGGUCAACUUCGAGCCAACGACGAUAAGUCGACCUCUAAAAAGCGGUGUAUACUCGCUACAAAUCCAGUGAAGCGACAUCUGGUUAACUCUGUAGAUGCCACAGGACAGGAUAACUUGGAACCGGCGUCCAAGAAAUGGCGCCUUGGCGUAGAAAACAAUCAUAGGACAAUUCACGUUGACCAAAAGUCAUCCGAGUUUAAAGUCAAAUGUACUUCCAAUCCCAGUGAAAGUGAAACCUCUAAAAAUGUCACAGGAGAGAGUUCUCAGGUUGUUCCGAAAACCACUAACAGUAGUUUCCAAUCACCGGCUCAUGUCGAGACAACAGAAGGUCAGAAGGGCCACGGCGUUCAGAAUAACGGUCUUACUGACAAGGUAGAGUCGCCCAUUCCGAUGCAGCGUCCCGCGCACAAAAAUCUCCCAAACAUUUUGUCAAAACAGUAUGACGGUCAGGCCCCGAAGUCUGACCAAAUUCUAGGGUCUUUGUCUGUCUCUCGAAACGGACAGCAGAUUUCUUCAGUGCCUGUACCUGCCGCAGCGCACUGUAACUUUGUCCCCAGACUACAACCUCCAUCUCUUAAGGGGAAACAAGAUGGGGAUUGCAAUGAUAUUGGUGCUCUAGAUCUGUCUGCGUCACCACGUCGCCAGCAGCAGAGCAACAUCAUGUCCAUUGCCCAGACACUGGCACGUCGUCACCAACAGCAGUGUCCUUCCCCCGGGCCUCCUCCUCUGUCGCCAUUGUCGUCUCUUUCUCCUUUUCCUGUUAUGUCUAUACCAGUGCGUUCGCCACCGCCACAGCUUCGUAUUCCUAUACCACCACUUCACCGUUCAGGACACUCGCAGCAACAGCGGCCUUCCUCGUUGUCUUCAUCGUCGCCCUCUCCACCUGCUGAUACGCUGCCUGGCUGCUCCAGGUCUGGGCUGCAGCGACAACAGCCCGCGGACAUUUACCCCUCGCACCUGCUGCCUUCUUCUGCUGUCAUGUUCCGUCAGCAGCUCGAGAUGAACAGAUUCUGGAAUUCAAACAAGCACAAUACGAACCCGAGCAUGGACUGGUUUAAUGACGCCAAAUCAGUCAAGUCGUUUGAGAACUUCAUGAAGACGCUACAGCAACAGCAGGGCAAUCGAAACUCCCCGUAUUAUCCGUACAACAACACGAAUGCAGCUCCCAACAGCCACCGGAAGUGAUGUAAGGCUGAACGGUUCUCAGAAACUAGAUAAAAAAGUCUGAAUUGUCUCCUAAAUAUGGUGGCGUACUGCAAACGUUCAAGCUCAGAUGAAAGUGAGGUUAAGUGUCCCUGUGCAUAAGCACCAUAUUAAAAAUAUGGGGCUUAUGGGGGGGGGGGGAAGUGAAUGUAAAGUACCACAUACCUCGACCUAGACAGAGAUAAUUGGCCAGUUUCAUACUCUGGCAGCAGUGAAAACAGAGAAACAGCCUCAGGUACCAUUUGGAUGCGUCCUAGCUACUUCGGACUUGUCGGGAAUCGAAACCCGGUCAUCCGGAUAAAUACUGACUAAACUCGGCUGUAUUGUAGGUAACGUGGGCAGGAUAUUUCCGGAGGGAGAGGGGACAAUUGCUAGUUCCCUCUCAAAUUGCUGACUUCCCUUCGAAAAUAAGCCUGUAUUUGUUGCGUAAUUAACAAACUGCCACAAAAAUAGUUCCUGAUUGUUUUAUAAGUUGAUGUAUUAGUGUAUAUAAUGUAAUAUAUGUGGUUAGUCACAUGCUGUUGUAUGUGUUAAGAAAAAGUGAAGGGUGGAUUUCGGAAAUUUUAACAUGUUAUGAAUCGAAUAUCAAAAUUCGUGUAAAAAUUGUUUUAUUCAGUAGACUGUCAGCAGAGUUAGAGAUUUUAAAUAUCAAUCGUAUUUACAAAUAUGAUUUCUUAACAUAAGAUUUAAAUAUCCAAAUGAAAUCGAUAUUUUAAUCCAUGUGAAAAUGUAAAAGUCUUAUUUUAAAUUCGCAAGUUGUGUUAUGAAUGGACUGAUACAAACAAGAAUGUUGCCUGAGAACUUUUAUAGCCCCAUUUCUUACUUCGGAGACGAGAUACGUACGCCAAGUGUCCUCACAACGUGGCCACUUCGUGCACUUUGCAAAGAGUGCGUAAGAACAUCCAAAGUCAUUUGUGUCGGUGAUUUUAGUUUCGAAAUCGACUGGGAUCCACUGAUGAUUUUCAGCUAUCCUUCGUGACAAUGGUCAAUAUGUGUGUGUGGAGUCUAUAGCCCCUCCGGGGAGGGGGGCAUAGAGGUCACGUAAGCUCCCUGACCCACGGCGGCCAUCAAACACAACUUUAUUCUACGCCGCGACGUUUCAGAAAUGGAAUACUUCGCCAUUUCGAGGCGGAUUGAGAUCACGGGGACCAAAGACACCAUAAACGAAGCGUCAUCUUGUCUGAUGACGAGUAGAAGCCCCCGGUGUCUCGCUGUUCUGUCGGCCACAAGGAAGUGAAACCAGACGUAGGCAGUCUGCGGACUGCAGCUCGUAGUCAGUGCAACAGCGACAUAACCAACAGGAAAACAGGAUUCGUGCUGCAGUCAGGAGAACUGACACUUCUUUUGUAUGUUUGGCGGGUUUCAGGUUCUCACGACAGCGAGUAUGAAGAUGGCUGUCUUCUGAGUUGUUGCGCCGUGUUGCCUGGUAGAAGUUUACAGACGUUUUAGAGGUGCUUUGUGCCUCCAUCAUCAGUAGAAGCACCUCUGAAACGGCGGUAAACUAAACCCAGAGGACAGACUCCUUGAUUCUCUUAUAAUUUUGUCUGAAAUCCCUGGCGUAUUCUGAACUUCAAUUUAGAUUUAUAGGCCUACAGCAGCUUUAGGAUUCUGUUUUCAGACAUACGUCCAAACCGGUCUAGCGAUUUCAGAGUUGUAGCUUGUAAUGCAGCCAAAACAGACUAAUCGAUAUUUCUCAGGUGUACAAAUAUUUUAUUGUCCAAAAUAAGUUUUACUCUGAUAAGCCCUUUUCUCCAAUGCAAUUUUUCUUUGUCUCUAAGGAGAAUAAAUUCAAUUAAGCUUUUUAAAAAAAACAAAAAGUACGAUUUGGUAUGUUCAUGAGGCCUACAGGUACACAUAGUUAAAAUGAUUUGAAGUUGGGGUUGAGACACGUUAAGGCUUCUGAAAAUUUUGUUUUCUAAUUACAUGAGAUGUUUGUCAGAUCAUUAUGCUUGAAGAAAGAAAAAAUGUAAUGAUUUCGGAAGUAUUUUAAGUUCCUGUUGGAUAACAAAUCUGUUAACCGGAAACUAUAGUGAACUGGACUACUUUACCUAGGCGUUUAUAUAAAUAUGGCAAAUUUCCAGUCUAGUUACAUAAAAUGGCUGCUCAUUCAAGCUCAAAGCACUGUUGUGAACAAGUUGCAAUUAAUAUUUAAUUAGAUCUUGUUCAAUUUGCGUUAAGUCCCUUUCCUGCAAAAGCCUUCAUAUUAAGUGAUACGAGAAUGUACUGUGUAUAACAAAAGUUUCUUAAAUUUUCCUUUA
This is an RNA transcript of Zootermopsis nevadensis, 5938 nucleotides long. RefSeq lists it as uncharacterized. Lineage: Eukaryota; Metazoa; Arthropoda; Insecta; Blattodea; Termopsidae. The record is from RefSeq and is a predicted model, not a curated record.